This 484-nucleotide ribosomal RNA is filed under the name uncultured bacterium. RNAcentral's name for it is "partial 16S ribosomal RNA". It matches the Rfam family "Bacterial small subunit ribosomal RNA", at positions 30 to 507 of the family's 1533-position model. The record is from RNAcentral.
AUUGAACGCUGGCGGCAGGCCUAACACAUGCAAGUCUUUCGCAUAACUGUGGCUUGCUCCUGUAUUCAGCGGCGACGGGUUGGUUAAUGCCAAGGAAUUUGCCUUGUAGUGGGGGAUAACAUCCGGAAACGGCCGCUAAUACCUCGUAAGUCCUGAGGGAGACAUUUGGGGCUCUUCGGACCUCACUCUUUCAGGUGAGCCUUGGUUGGUUUUGCUAGUUGGUGGGGUUAAGGGCUCCCAAGGCGACGAUCAGUAACUCGUCUGAGAGUAUGAUCAGGCACACUGGAAAUGAGGCACGGUCCAGACUCCUACGGGAGGCAGCAGUGGGGAAUAUUGGACGAAGGGGGAAAGAAUGAUCGAGCAAGGGGGCAUGUGUGAAGAAGGAAUUCGGAGUGUAAAAUACUGGAAGUUGGGAGGAAGGGUAGUAAGUGAAUAGCAGAAAAUAAUGACGUUACCAACAGAAGAAGCACCGGCUAACUUCGUG